AGAAUAUAGAUAAGACACUUA
RNAcentral lists this microRNA (21 nucleotides) under Populus tomentosa. RNAcentral describes it as "pto-smR3". Lineage: Eukaryota; Viridiplantae; Streptophyta; Magnoliopsida; Malpighiales; Salicaceae. The record is from RNAcentral.